This 497-nucleotide ribosomal RNA is filed under the name uncultured bacterium. RNAcentral describes it as "partial 16S ribosomal RNA". It matches the Rfam family "Bacterial small subunit ribosomal RNA", at positions 28 to 507 of the family's 1533-position model. The record is from RNAcentral.
GAUGAACGCUGGCGGCGCGCCUAAUACAUGCAAGUCGAGCGAACGGACGAGAAGCUUGCUUCUCUGAUGUUAGCGGCGGACGGGUGAGUAACACGUGGAUAACCUACCUAUAAGACUGGGAUAACUUCGGGAAACCGGAGCUAAUACCGGAUAAUAUUUUGAACCGCAUGGUUCAAAAGUGAAAGACGGUCUUGCUGUCACUUAUAGAUGGAUCCGCGCUGCAUUAGCUAGUUGGUAAGGUAACGGCUUACCAAGGCAACGAUGCAUAGCCGACCUGAGAGGGUGAUCGGCCACACUGGAACUGAGACACGGUCCAGACUCCUACGGGAGGCAGCAGUAGGGAAUCUUCCGCAAUGGGCGAAAGCCUGACGGAGCAACGCCGCGUGAGUGAUGAAGGUCUUCGGAUCGUAAAACUCUGUUAUUAGGGAAGAACAUAUGUGUAAGUAACUGUGCACAUCUUGACGGUACCUAAUCAGAAGGCCACGGCUAACUACGUG